GCCGGUGUGGCUCAGUGGUUGAGCAUCAGCCGGUGGACUGAAGGGUCCUAGGUUCAAUUCCAGUCAAGGGCA
Molecule: transfer RNA, 72 nt
Filed under: Myotis davidii
Lineage: Eukaryota; Metazoa; Chordata; Mammalia; Chiroptera; Vespertilionidae
Rfam family: tRNA
About the family: Transfer RNA (tRNA) molecules are approximately 80 nucleotides in length. Their secondary structure includes four short double-helical elements and three loops (D, anti-codon, and T loops). Further hydrogen bonds mediate the characteristic L-shaped molecular structure. tRNAs have two regions of fundamental functional importance: the anti-codon, which is responsible for specific mRNA codon recognition, and the 3' end, to which the tRNAs corresponding amino acid is attached (by aminoacyl-tRNA synthetases). tRNAs cope with the degeneracy of the genetic code in two manners: having more than one tRNA (with a specific anti-codon) for a particular amino acid; and 'wobble' base-pairing, i.e. permitting non-standard base-pairing at the 3rd anti-codon position.
Source: Rfam by way of RNAcentral